GAGGAAUUAUUUUUAUGGAAUAAUAUCAGUCAGAGUGUUUAAUGAUAAAGGUAAUGCCAUUCUAUCCUUCUUGGCCACGGCACAGCAAGAAAAUAACGAUGGAGGAUUUCGUGUUAUGGUUUCGGCAUUAACUCCCACGACAGACACAAAGUCAAUUGAAUUUGAAAAUUUGGAAAUAUCUCGCAUAUGUAAGCGGCAAUAUUCCAAGGUGAAAAAGGUGUCAGCAACAAAAGACUGUUCAAAAUUUCAAUCCGGAAAAUCCUUUAUGACAGCCCCACUGGGAAGAUUUUGCUGCAGCGGAGGGGAAAGAAGAAUGCGCGAUGUCAGCGAAGGAAUUAAUUCACAAGCACGUUUUGCGUUACGACAACCAAAAAAUAACACUCAGCGAGUUGUAUGUUUUGAAGGCACAAAUUUUAAGGUGGUUUCUCGGCGAAACAAUAUAAAACUGGAGGAUAGGCAAGAAUUUUCAACAGAAGUCCGGUGGUCGACAAAUGGCACACCCGCGACUAUCAAAGCCGCCACCUAAUAUAACUGAUGAAGUUACAGGUAGCGACAGACGAUAAUCAUCUACCAGUCCCUCGAAAAGAAUUUCCAUUCUGGGUCAGGAGACAAUAACAAAAGGCUUAAGCGGACAGAAUCGCGCUCGCAGACACCGCCGCACUUUUUGGGGCGCCAUUGUGAAAAGGAG
Drosophila miranda is the source of this 688-nucleotide long non-coding RNA. RefSeq lists it as uncharacterized. The record is from RefSeq and is a predicted model, not a curated record. The transcript has 3 exons. Lineage: Eukaryota; Metazoa; Arthropoda; Insecta; Diptera; Drosophilidae.